This 484-nucleotide ribosomal RNA is filed under the name uncultured bacterium. RNAcentral's name for it is "partial 16S ribosomal RNA". It matches the Rfam family "Bacterial small subunit ribosomal RNA", at positions 30 to 507 of the family's 1533-position model. The record is from RNAcentral.
AUUGAACGCUGGCGGCAGGCCUAACACAUGCAAGUCGAGCGGAUGAAGGGAGCUUGCUCCUGGAUUCAGCGGCGGACGGGUGAGUAAUGCCUAGGAAUCUGCCUGGUAGUGGGGGAUAACGUCCGGAAACGGGCGCUAAUACCGCAUACGUCCUGAGGGAGAAAGUGGGGGAUCUUCGGACCUCACGCUAUCAGAUGAGCCUAGGUCGGAUUAGCUAGUUGGUGGUGUAAAGGCCUACCAAGGCGACGAUCCGUAACUGGUCUGAGAGGAUGAUCAGUCACACUGGAACUGAGACACGGUCCAGACUCCUACGGGAGGCAGCAGUGGGGAAUAUUGGACAAUGUGCGAAAGCCUGAUCCAGCCAUGCCGCGUGUGUGAAGAAGGUCUUCGGAUUGUAAAGCACUUUAAGUUGGGAGGAAGGGCAGUAAGUUAAUACCUUGCUGUUUUGACGUUACCAACAGAAUAAGCACCGGCUAACUUCGUG